This 708-nucleotide long non-coding RNA is filed under the name Vigna radiata. RNAcentral's name for it is "long non-coding RNA (VRAD_LNC000342)". The record is from RNAcentral. Lineage: Eukaryota; Viridiplantae; Streptophyta; Magnoliopsida; Fabales; Fabaceae.
CUAAGUUUCGUUUUAUGUCUUUUGGUGGAUUUCUAGCACUCCUAACUUGAUCUAUAUGAUGAUUUAAACUUGUCUAAUCAACUCUAACACUUACUAAACCAAAUCCCUAAUGAUUUAGCAUCAAUCUACACUCAAAUUUCUCAAUUUCAUCAACUUAUCUACCCAAAUCUAAUUCUACUAGUUAGAUACUGUUUUUACCACUUUUAAGACUUCUAAUAAGUCACAAUUGACUCAAUCAAAUUGUCCCCACUGUCCACUUACACCCUAGAUCUCAAUUACUCAAAAACACUCUCUCACUUCCUCUAAACUCACUAAAAACACUAGUUUUUCCUCAACUUAAGGGCUCAAUUCUAAAUUUAUCACUUAAGGACUGUUUUUGUUCAUUUUGACACUUCUAACAAGUCAUAUUUGACUUAUCUAUGUGGUCUGAACUGGUCAAGACUCUUUAUGACUCCAACUUCCAAAUUUGACUACCUUAGUUCCCUUAAUAUAGCCUAAAACACCUUGAUUUACCUAGCUUUUCCUUUAAGAUCUUUCACAACAGAAUUCUACUUCCUUUUAACACUCUACAAUUCUCAUUGCCUCUCAUCCAAUCUACUUUAUUAGCUAACACCCACAGAAUCAACAUUUGAAUAUCACAUAGCAAUUUACUCAUACAUGCAUUUUAUCAAACUUCAAUUCAAAAUAGCAAUAUUUCCCCCAAAUCAC